RNAcentral lists this ribosomal RNA (1531 nucleotides) under Salmonella enterica subsp. enterica serovar Infantis. RNAcentral's name for it is "partial 23S ribosomal RNA". It matches the Rfam family "Bacterial large subunit ribosomal RNA", at positions 711 to 2141 of the family's 2925-position model. RNAcentral also lists the same sequence under 2 other names. Lineage: Bacteria; Pseudomonadati; Pseudomonadota; Gammaproteobacteria; Enterobacterales; Enterobacteriaceae. The record is from RNAcentral.
AGACCCGAAACCCGGUGAUCUAGCCAUGGGCAGGUUGAAGGUUGGGUAACACUAACUGGAGGACCGAACCGACUAAUGUUGAAAAAUUAGCGGAUGACCUGUGGCUGGGGGUGAAAGGCCAAUCAAACCGGGAGAUAGCUGGUUCUCCCCGAAAGCUAUUUAGGUAGCGCCUCGUGAAUUCAUCUCCGGGGGUAGAGCACUGUUUCGGCUAGGGGGCCAUCCCGGCUUACCAACCCGAUGCAAACUGCGAAUACCGGAGAAUGUUAUCACGGGAGACACACGGCGGGUGCUAACGUCCGUCGUGAAGAGGGAAACAACCCAGACCGCCAGCUAAGGUCCCAAAGUCAUGGUUAAGUGGGAAACGAUGUGGGAAGGCCCAGACAGCCAGGAUGUUGGCUUAGAAGCAGCCAUCAUUUAAAGAAAGCGUAAUAGCUCACUGGUCGAGUCGGCCUGCGCGGAAGAUGUAACGGGGCUAAACCAUGCACCGAAGCUGCGGCAGCGAACGUAUCACUUAAAGCGAUUCAGCGGGUUACGAUUGACGGAGCGAAGCGACGUCAAAGCGUAUACAAAGUCGAGUCGGUUUAAGGAUACGUUCGUUGGGUAGGGGAGCGUUCUGUAAGCCUGUGAAGGUGUGUCGUGAGGCAUGCUGGAGGUAUCAGAAGUGCGAAUGCUGACAUAAGUAACGAUAAAGCGGGUGAAAAGCCCGCUCGCCGGAAGACCAAGGGUUCCUGUCCAACGUUAAUCGGGGCAGGGUGAGUCGACCCCUAAGGCGAGGCCGAAAGGCGUAGUCGAUGGGAAACGGGUUAAUAUUCCCGUACUUGGUGUUACUGCGAAGGGGGGACGGAGAAGGCUAUGUUGGCCGGGCGACGGUUGUCCCGGUUUAAGCGUGUAGGUGUGUGUUCCAGGUAAAUCCGGUUCACUUUAACACUGAGGCGUGAUGACGAGGCACUACGGUGCUGAAGCAACAAAUGCCCUGCUUCCAGGAAAAGCCUCUAAGCAUCAGGUAACAUCAAAUCGUACCCCAAACCGACACAGGUGGUCAGGUAGAGAAUACCAAGGCGCUUGAGAGAACUCGGGUGAAGGAACUAGGCAAAAUGGUGCCGUAACUUCGGGAGAAGGCACGCUGACAUGUAGGUGAAGUGAUUUACUCAUGGAGCUGAAGUCAGUCGAAGAUACCAGCUGGCUGCAACUGUUUAUUAAAAACACAGCACUGUGCAAACACGAAAGUGGACGUAUACGGUGUGACGCCUGCCCGGUGCCGGAAGGUUAAUUGAUGGGGUCAGCGCAAGCGAAGCUCCUGAUCGAAGCCCCGGUAAACGGCGGCCGUAACUAUAACGGUCCUAAGGUAGCGAAAUUCCUUGUCGGGUAAGUUCCGACCUGCACGAAUGGCGUAAUGAUGGCCAGGCUGUCUCCACCCGAGACUCAGUGAAAUUGAACUCGCUGUGAAGAUGCAGUGUACCCGCGGCAAGACGGAAAGACCCCGUGAACCUUUACUAUAGCUUGACACUGAACAUUGAGCCUUGAUGUGUAG